Molecule: long non-coding RNA, 3406 nt
Organism: Vigna unguiculata (cowpea)
Lineage: Eukaryota; Viridiplantae; Streptophyta; Magnoliopsida; Fabales; Fabaceae
Source: RefSeq, a predicted model, not a curated record
UGAUAGUCUAAUUUAGCCUUAGUUUAGGGAGUUUUAAGUAGUUUUUCCGCUUAGGAAUUGAGUUAGUUAAUGAGCUGUAGUUAGGAGAUGAGAUUUAGUGUAUAUAGGAUAGAAAAAAUCACUCAGCAGGGAGAGAUCACACUUCCACUGGUCAGAAAUCACUCUCCAUAUUCUCUCAUUUUCGCUCAUCUUCUCUCACGGUUUUUCUUCACUUUUAACUUGGAGAUCAAGAGCUUUGGUGAGAGGACGGCUCAAGAACUUCAACCUUUGUGUUGUACUUGUGUAUGGAAUCAAUUUUACUGAUCCAAUCAUUGUAGAUAACAAAUGAAAACCAAUAAUCUGGACUUCCUUGCCACAUUGAGGACAAUAUGCACUUUAACUGUGGGGGGAGGUCAAGAAAUUUUAAAUUUUUUUUCCAGUUUUCUUAACUAACUUCACUAAUAUUUUCUCUUUGUUUAGUUGUUCUGAUUUUUCUGUAUUGCAGGUAGCUGUAGUUGCUCUUUUUGAUCGCAUUAGUUUGAAGUUGUUCUACAUUCUGGUUCUUAAUUCUGUUCUAUUUUAAAUUCUGUUUGAGGUAGAUUUAGUUAGUUUAAUUGUGUUAUGGCGUUUCUUUUUAGAACAUAGGUACUUCAGUUUAAUUGUAGUUUUAUCUUGCUGAUUUCCGUUUGUAUAGCUAGCUUGAAUUUAGUUUACUAGUUAGAAUUUUUUCUUCAUUUUAACUUAUGUGUUGUUGCAGUAUUAUAGGUAGUAGCAUAGUCAACUGUGAAUUUUUUGUUUUUCUAAAAUAAAUAGUUGGUAUAAUAGUUAGCCUUGAUGAUUUGACAUUUUAUCACAUAGGUAUUCUUACUGUUUUAAUAAAAAAAGUAUUAGAAGUGAAGUUUAAGCCUAACUCAACCCCACAAAACCGGUUUAUAAGGUGAGGUUUGAACUUCACUUAUAUAUUGUGAAUUAGCUUUACCUCUAGUCGAUGUGGGACUUCCAACACACCCCCUCACGCCGAGGUAUAUUCAUCUCGUGCGUAGGACAAGAAAUUAUAGGAUGGUCCGUUAGCAGCUCGAUAUCAGGUGAAACAGAAUGUCCAAGAAAGUUCGCUAGGAUAGGCUCUAACUUGGCACACAUAAGAUAAUCUAUUUAUAACAGAGAGAUUACAAUUAAAAAGAGUAACUGAAAAUAAAUAGAGUAAAUAGAAGAUAUUGUUUGAUAUUUUGAUUAACAAUAUCUAACAAUAUCUUAAUAAUAUCAAACAAUAUCUAAACAAUAUCUAACAAGUAUAAAAUUUUGACACGUUUUCUGUUUUACCAAUUAGUUUAGUUUUUCUUUAGGUUUUCAUAGUUAAUUCUUGAUCCUUCUGCUGUUUUCAGUAGCUAUCAUAUUUUUUAAUAGCCUUUUGUUUUUUUUAGAACUUGCUUAGAUAGAGAAUUUUAGGUAUAGAUAGCUUAAACAUUCAAUUUGAGUCAUUAUAGUAUAGGAUAGGACCAGUUUACUGUUUUAGUGCAUUUUAUGGCUGUGCAUAUUAGUUUUCAUAGUUCUUCAUGCUUUGGACUUUUAGCUUAGUUUUUAACCUUCAAUUAUCAUUUAGAAUGUGUCUAGGUAGUUGCAUAACAUUUCCAUUUGGUAGUUGGAUACAGUUUUAAAAUUUUAGUCUGUUCUAGCAUUGUUUAGUUUGUGAUAUAGAUUCUAGAUAGUCAAUUUUUGAGUUUCUUUUUACCAUUUUAAGCUUGUCUAGAGAGUUUCCAUACACUUUUCUAUACUGUUUUAGUGCAAUUUAAUUUUUUUAGCUUUUUAGAGUCCUUUUAGAGAAUUGUCUUGGUUCUAGAUAGUGAAAUUUUGUUUUAAAGUUUAGUUUUGGGAAGCAAGUACAUUUUUAGAGUGUUUGUUACAUCUUUGCAUAAUGAUGAGUGGUGAUUAAUUCAAGUUUAGAUUGCCAAGUGUCAUUAGAUUCUAGAUUUGAGUGGAUGAUCUUUAGUAAGUUUUUACAUAUUAAUUCAAUUAAAUCGAGUAGUUUUUGCAUGAUAGAGAUGUAGCAUUUGAGUCUUAACAACAUUAACUUUUGAGAGCUUUUGAGCCUUAUUUCUUCAUGUUGUGUGAUUGCAUGUACGUAGAGUUAUAUUUCGGGAUUUGCAUUGAUUCUCUUUGGUUUGCUUGACCUUGGAUGCACUCUAAACAUGAUCUAAAAUAGUAACUUGACCUUUCUUGAUGAAUCACCUCUGUUACAAGCCAUGAGACCUGAAAAAAAAAAAACCAUGAUUUGCCUAGCUUGUGGGCAUAAGAAGGUCAAUGUUCAGUGUGAAUUCCAAGUGUGGGGGUGGGAAAUCUGGUUCGAAAAAAUAGAGGAAAACAGAUUGGAUAAGUGCUGAAACAAGUGAUGGAAUAAGUGAUGAAACAAGUCUGAAUUGGCUGAAAAAGAAAAUAAGAAAAGAGAGGGGGUCUGAAUCAAAAUAAAAGAGAAGGAAGAAAGAAAAGGUGUUGAUACAAAGCUGAAAUAAAAGAAUGUGAUGACAGAAUUAUGGUUCUGACCUGCACUCAAAACUCCAUGCUGUCAGAUUGCUUUUUUCUCAUGCUCACAAGCUCAUAGCCUUGAAUCCUCUUCUGAAUCCUACCCAUAAACUUGACCACGUUACCAGCCAAAAUAAAGACCUAUCGAUUUGGAGUGUGCCUUGGAUCGAGUGAUGCUGAUUAGAAGCUUUUCAAAUUCAUGAGAUUGGGCUUUUACAUGUAGUGCCGAGUGAUAAAUACAAGUCUAUACACUUUGAGAUGUGAGAGCAAACACCUUCUUUGUGAGGUUAAAUCUGAUCUGCUAUUCUCUUGAUUGUUCAAUACUUGAUUUGGGUUGGAUUAACAUGUUUCUGGCUUGCUGGAUUUCAUGAAGCUUGAAUUUGGAGAGUUAAUGGUCAUUUGGCAGAAUUGAGCUAGGAUUGAUGCAGCUGGAUUAUGCAGAUUGAAAAUAAUAAACCAAGGCAACUAAAUGGAGUCGUUUUAGAGCUAAUCAAUAGCAAAGGCAAAGGAAAACAACAACUUUGAAGCUGCUGUGACAGCUUAUUAGCCAAGAAUCCUGUAAAGUUGACUUUGGGUUGACUUUUUGCAUUUCAUCUCCUAUCUUUGUGCCAACUUUGGGGAACUUCAAGGAACAUUCAAAUACACUUGCUGGAGCUGAGGAACACUGGAUAGAGGCUGAAAGAUUGACCAGAUCAUGCAUUCCGUGAUUUACUUGCUUAGUUAACUUGUUUAGUUUGUUUAAUUAGAUAUGAUGUUUGGUUUAGUUAUUAGUCUUAGUUAGAUUUAACUUUGGUUGUUUAAUAUUAGUUUUAUGAAUUUAAAAAUAAAAAGUCCAGCAAAAGAAAAACGUUUGUAAACCAUAAUGUUUAACUCAUAUUUGUUCAUCUUCAUUGAAAAAUACUUCUUCUAA